This 179-nucleotide unclassified non-coding RNA is filed under the name uncultured fungus. Its description in RNAcentral is "sequence contains ITS1". The record is from RNAcentral. Lineage: Eukaryota; Fungi.
CACUCAGUAGAUCUCUACUGCUCAGGGGGAGCGGAAAGUGGCUAAACCCACGAGUACGCUCUCUGUCUGAACCCUUGUCUUUUUGCGUACUCAUGUUUCCUCGGUGGGCUCGCCCGCCGGCUGGACAACACAACAACCUUUUUAAUCUUCAAUCAGCGUCUGAAUAAAUAUAAUAUUUA